CACAUACAAAUACCGCCCCUCACAAUGACGUCAUUUGCUUCAUUGAGUGCAGCGUCUGACAUUGAUCAGUGACGUGUUGUGGACUGUAAGCCUGUUGAACAGAAGCAGAGACGUGUGGACAGACACUGACUGUACUGAUGACGAUCAUCUGCUGCUGCACAGGCUGUAAAGUAUAACCCCUGCUGGACACGGCUCCGGAAGCUCCAGGGGGAGACCGAACUGGUAUCCCCCCUUCUUCAGGCGCGCCUCACACUCACUCACCAUUCACACAUAUCGCAGAGUUCUGGCUGGCAUUGAACCAGCAACCCCUGAAGCCGUGGGGCAGCGCUCUUACCACAGAGCCACAGAUCUCCUUGUCUGAACACUUGCUGGAACUGAUGUUGGACUGCUGACCUGUGUGUGAGCUGAUUCAAUAAAACAAGAAUAUAUGUCAGAUCUGAA
Danio rerio (zebrafish) is the source of this 441-nucleotide non-coding RNA. The record is from RefSeq and is a predicted model, not a curated record. Lineage: Eukaryota; Metazoa; Chordata; Actinopteri; Cypriniformes; Danionidae.